GACGCCGGGUCGGCGGGUGGAUGAACACGGCCCUCUGUAAUGGCGGAGCGUGGCGGGGACGGGGGCGAGAGUGAACGAUUCAACCCGGGGGAGCUCAGGAUGGCCCAACAGCAGGCCUUGAGGUUCCGAGGUCCGGCUCCCCCACCAAAUGCAGUGAUGCGAGGCCCACCACCUCUGAUGCGACCUCCUCCACCUUUUGGUAUGAUGCGAGGCCCUCCUCCACCACCACGGCCGCCCUUUGGACGUCCUCCUUUUGAUCCUAAUAUGCCACCAAUGCCUCCUCCAGGAGGGAUACCUCCACCUAUGGGCCCUCCACACCUCCAGAGACCACCUUUCAUGCCUCCUCCCAUGAGUUCCAUGCCUCCUCCUCCGGGUAUGAUGUUUCCACCAGGAAUGCCUCCUGUGACUGCUCCUGGUACUCCAGCACUACCUCCUACGGAGGAGAUAUGGGUUGAAAAUAAAACUCCAGAUGGGAAGGUUUAUUAUUAUAAUGCUCGGACACGUGAAUCUGCAUGGACCAAGCCAGAUGGAGUUAAGGUUAUUCAGCAAUCAGAACUGACACCUAUGCUUGCAGCCCAGGCACAGGUUCAGGCUCAGGCCCAGGCGCAGGCUCAGGCCCAGGCGCAGGCUCAGGCCCAGGCGCAGGCUCAGGCCCAGGCACAAGCUCAGGCCCAGGCUCAGGCUCAGGCCCAGGCCCAGGCCCAGGCGCAGGCCCAGGCCCAGGCCCAGGCCCAGGCUCAGGCUCAGGCACAAGCUCAGGCCCAGGCCCAGGCCCAGGCUCAGGUCCAGGCCCAGGUCCAGGCACAAGUGCAAGCACAAGCAGUUGGAGCUUCCACCCCUACGACCAGUAGCCCAGCACCUGCAGUAUCCACUUCAACAUCAUCAUCCACCCCUUCCUCUACCACUUCUACCACAACAACUGCUACUUCAGUUGCGCAGACAGUAUCAACACCCACAACACAAGAUCAGACCCCAAGUUCUGCUGUUUCAGUUGCCACGCCUACAGUUAGUGUUUCAACUCCUGCUCCUACAGCCACACCUGUGCAAACCGUUCCCCAGCCGCACCCUCAGACGUUACCUCCUGCUGUUCCUCAUUCAGUACCUCAGCCAACAACAGCAAUACCUGCUUUUCCACCAGUAAUGGUACCUCCGUUUCGUGUUCCCCUUCCUGGCAUGCCAAUUCCACUUCCAGGUGUAUUGCCAGGAAUGGCCCCUCCUAUCGUACCCAUGAUACAUCCCCAGGUUGCUAUUGCAGCUUCACCUGCUACCUUAGCUGGAGCAACAGCAGUUUCUGAAUGGACUGAAUAUAAAACAGCAGAUGGGAAGACAUAUUAUUAUAAUAAUAGAACAUUAGAAUCAACCUGGGAAAAACCCCAAGAACUAAAGGAAAAAGAAAAGUUAGAAGAGAAGAUUAAAGAGCCAAUUAAAGAACCCUCUGAAGAGCCUCUGCCAAUGGAGACGGAGGAGGAGGAUCCUAAAGAAGAGCCUAUAAAGGAGAUAAAGGAGGAGCCCAAAGAAGAGGAGAUGACUGAAGAAGAAAAGGCUGCCCAGAAGGCAAAGCCAGUUGCUACUGCUCCUAUUCCUGGUACUCCAUGGUGUGUCGUUUGGACUGGUGAUGAGCGGGUCUUCUUUUAUAAUCCCACCACUCGUCUUUCUAUGUGGGACCGACCUGAUGAUCUGAUUGGCAGGGCAGAUGUUGACAAAAUUAUUCAGGAGCCCCCUCAUAAAAAAGGAAUGGAGGAAUUGAAGAAACUAAGGCACCCAACUCCGACAAUGCUGUCGAUCCAAAAGUGGCAAUUCUCUAUGAGUGCAAUUAAAGAGGAACAAGAAUUAAUGGAAGAAAUUAAUGAAGAUGAGCCUGUUAAAGCAAAAAAACGGAAGUAAGUAAUACAUACAAUUUGAUUGAGGUAGAUUAUAUCUUUUAAAAGUCGAUUUGGUAAUAAUUUGUGAUUGGAAGGGACAGGUAAUGUGAAUGUUGUUAGGAGACAUGAUUGCUCUCUUA
This 2002-nucleotide small RNA is filed under the name Pan troglodytes (chimpanzee). RNAcentral's name for it is "retained intron". Lineage: Eukaryota; Metazoa; Chordata; Mammalia; Primates; Hominidae. The record is from RNAcentral.